This is a small nucleolar RNA of Callithrix jacchus (white-tufted-ear marmoset), 75 nucleotides long. Ensembl annotates it as small nucleolar RNA, C/D box 110. Its record names the gene SNORD110. NCBI's taxonomy places the organism in Eukaryota, Metazoa, Chordata, Mammalia, Primates, Cebidae. The record is from Ensembl.
UUGCAGUGAUGACUUGGUAAUCAAAUCUGUCAAUCCCCUGAGUGCAAUCACUGAUGUCUCCAUGUCUCUGAGCAG